Molecule: ribosomal RNA, 113 nt
Filed under: Acanthosepion pharaonis
Lineage: Eukaryota; Metazoa; Mollusca; Cephalopoda; Sepiida; Sepiidae
Source: RNAcentral
UACGGUCAAAUCACGCUGAAACACCGGUUCCCGUUCGAUCACCGAAGUUAAGCAUCGUAGAGCCAGGUCAGUACUUAGAUGGGGGACCGCUUGGGAACACCUGGUACUGUAAG